Molecule: long non-coding RNA, 5941 nt
Filed under: Cricetulus griseus (Chinese hamster)
Lineage: Eukaryota; Metazoa; Chordata; Mammalia; Rodentia; Cricetidae
Description: lncRNA (ENSCGRG00015040361.1)
Source: RNAcentral
CGCCAGCGGAAGGUGUCCUCGAUAAGAUAAGUCUUAUAAAAUAUAUAGAUUCAUGAUAAUUAAGACUGAGCUAGCAUAUAAGAAAUCCUAGCCAAGUGGCCAGCAGCAUUGUAAACUAAUAUAAAACUCUGUGUGUUAUUCUGGGCACCCACAUGGUGGCAGGGCUCGAGUGGAUGGAGUGAAGACUUAUCGUUACACCCUCCCAUCCUAAAAACUUGAAUUCUUUCACUCAGCUAAUCAUCCCAUCUUAAUUCCAGAUAGAUAUCUUCCAAGUCAGCCUCACCCUAGACCCUAAGCAGCUCAGGCACAUAUAAAACAAAACCCCUCCCAUCUGUCAGCCCUGCCACUCAGCAAGUGGCUACAUGGCAAACCAGCCCAUGAGGGAUCCUGAGGGUACCCAUGAUGUGGAUGCAUGCUCUCAGACUCUACUUGUGGUGGGAAAUAGCUCCAGAGAAACACUAGCUCUGGCCCCUGCCUUCUCAGGGACCAGGCUGCCACCUAGAUACUUGGUUGAGCCUGGUGGGACCCAGGCUACUGAGAAUUAUCAACAACGGCUAUCAUACAGGAUGUUUCCAAAGCAAACACCCCCUUGGAUCAAUAGGACCAUCUGUUUCCCAUUUAGAGAGACAAUCAAGGCCUGUUUCCUAAUGGAGAUGACAAAUGAGGGGCACCGAAGAAUGUAUGAGAGCAAGACGAGGACCGGAGAAACCGCCAAGCCAAAGAGCUGCUGUGAAUCCAAAAGGCAGUCCCCUGAGGUGGGGAGGAGCCUGGUGCUAUCACAGAGCAGAGUGGAGACCUUCCUUUCCACCCUAAAUGGACAAAUGGCAAUCUCAACAAGCGACACAUAGGCCACACUGGACCGACUCCUUUGAGAAGGCUGCAACUCAGACACCCCGGAUUGCACGGCCUAGCUCACAUGUUAGCGGAAGUUCAAGUGUGCAGUGGGAAGUCAACAGUACGGUAGCAAUAGACUGCUAAUGUACAGAUGGCCGUAGUCCGUUCAAGACCUGAGCCCAGAACUCCCGUGCCAUGCAGAGAGGCCUUGGUACUCCUGGGAAUCAGCCAGAUGAGGGGUAGGGGAAGAAAUGAGAGAAGGCAAAGUUAGCAGCUGUAACACCCACACCCAGUCUUGACCUUGGAGAUGGACAAGUUUGGAUCUGUCAGCAACAGAAGUCCCAGUGACCGGUAGCUCACCGUGUUGUGUUCACAGCCCAUUCCUUGACCAGACAUCUCCCACUGGAGAUGCCAUCCCCCCCCCCGCCCCCGCGCCCCCAAUGUUUUAGCUUUUAAUUGGCAAAUGGUUCAACUCACUGUUUUUUAUUAAACAGUUUUCAAAUGCUACAAACAUCAAAACUUAAAACUUCCAUCAUUUCAGAAAGUUUUUCCCACCCCUUCAUCCCUGAUCCCUGAUCCCUUCUAACCUGGUGUUAUUUCCUUCCAGUUGCCUUUCCUGGCCUUUUCUAUCCAUGGAAUCAGGUGUCAUCUACUGUCUGGUCUCCCUCACUCAGUGCAAUGCAUUUGACACUUGUGUGGGUUGCUGUGUCGGCCUCUUCCUCUUCCUCUUCGAGGCUGGAUAUUGUUCCAUCAUGCAGGUCACCCUCCCCCCAGGGAAACAAUCUUGUUGCUUGCCUUCUCUCCUCCUCCUGUUCUUGUCUUUUCUAGAAUGCUUUUACUGGUAGAGAUAAUUUUAAAAGUUUACUGAGUGGGGCCAAAACUUUGGUUUAACCUUUUUUUUUUUUUCUUGAUGGUUCUUAAGGCUUUUCUAGAUUAACUUUUCCAUUUAGCAUUGACUUCCCAAGCUCAGUAUGAACAAGAAGCUUUGUUGGGUUGUUUUGCCAGCAUUUAUGCAUCCCAACACUUUAACGAACACAAAUCAAAGACAUUCAACAAACUCACCAAGUUACACACCCAUCACCGCAAUCAAUUUUAGGAUAUUUUAAUUAUUGCAAUAAAAAUCUGUAACCUCAUAGCUGUCAUGCCCAGUCCUUCAUAGCUUCCAGCACUGGCCACCACUAACCUGCUUGCUGUCUCUAGAAAUAUGGCUACUGGGGAUAUUUCAUAUAAAAAUCUUGCAAUGUGUGAUCUUUUCAUGUCUAGCUUCUUAUUAUCCCUCUUAUAAUGUUUUUGAGGUUUGGUCUAUGAGUCAUCACUUUUUUUUCUGGAAAAUAAUAUUCCAUUAUGUGGACAUACCACAUUUCUUCUAUAUCCAUUUUCUAGUAGAUGGACAUUCAGACUUCUCCUAUUUUUUGGUUCUUGUGAAUACUGUUGCUUUGGGUUCAUAUACAGGUUUUAGGGGGGCAACUCUUGCAGGUCUUACUGUAUAUAUGUGAGUGAAACUGCUCAUUUAUAUGGUAGCUCAACGCUGAACCAUUUGAGAAACUGUUUUUGGUGUCACUGGUACCAUGUUAUACUCUGCAAAGAGCAGGUGCUUUUGUUACAAUUAAGGUUUUAAUGUGCUCUAAAGUAUUGUUUUUGAGACAGAGCCUCGCCAGGAAGCUCAAUCAAUUUAAACUUGUGGUAAUCCUCCUGACCCAACCUCCCAGGUGCUGGGGUUCCUAGUGUUGGCCCCUAUGGCCAGCUUCUAACUUCUUUAAGCACCGCCUUUUACAAAGUGAUAAAAUUCCAUUUUACACACAUGGUUCUGCAUCCCGAAGUACACUCGUGGGAAUGUGCGCCUCCAUUUGCAUCCACAUAGAGAACUCUUCAUCUUCCUAACCAGACUCUCUAUCUGUGAAGUGAAAAAGCCCCAGGACUCCUCCCCCUCUGCCUUGGCAGCUAACAUUCUACUUUCUGUUGUGAAUGUCAGUAGUCAAAGUACCUCCUAUGCAUGGAACAUGAAGUGCUUGUCCUUUUGUGUCUGGUUUGCUUUACUCUUAGCACACUGCCUUCAAGAUUUUUUUCCACAUCGUAGAGUCUGUGAGAAUGUCCUUCCUGCUUAUGGCUGAAUAAUGUCCUUUAUAUAAGUAUAUAUAAAUUUGAUCUUUGCUAGACAGAUACUGGGUUGCCUCCAUGCUUUAGCUAUUGUGAACAAUAUUGCAUUGACCAUGGAUGGAUACAGAUCUCUUAUUUUCAGUAAUCUCAAGUAUGUUGCGCAUACACAUUCUUUUUCCUUAAAAAAAGUCAAAUAAAAUUUGAAAUUUUCCCAAUAUAAAAAUUUCAACAGAAUACUCAGUAUAGUUCUUUCCAGUUCCUACACCACUUUCCUGCUUUGGUUUCCUUAGUUUCCAUUGGUCAUACAGGAGUCUUACAGUGUUCAUGGGCACUGAAUACACACUACUGUGAAGACCUUCCUAUGGGUCACAAUUCAUCAUUUAUGUGGGUAAUUGAACCCUGAAAAUAAUGCCUUGAAAUGUUCACCUUGUUGGCCCUGUUUCAGACUCAGAGAAACAUAGGCAAUGGGCUGAAGUGCUUUCCCAAGGCUGAGAUUAAGCAUUGGUUUGGGUGAUGACCAACCCAUGGCGCCUGGUGGUGUCCCUGGGGGGUCUUUGUGAACAUGGGAGGAUUCUUAAGGCUGAUUCCUCAGCCAAAGCUGAGCUGCCUUUCUGAAAGAAACCUCUUCUUCAGACCCCUGGCUCCUCCCUCAGAGCCUGGACUCCUCCCUCAGAGCCUGGACUCCACCCUCAGAGAUCAAACUUUUCCUGAGAAACCAGAGGGUGGUCCCUGAGGAAGUCCAUGGCAUUCUGUUUCCUUCUCUCUCACUUCCCACUUGCCCCACCCCAACUCCUCCUCACACUGCCCUCCCUUUAGACAGUUCACAGGGCAUUUCAAAGCCCAGUCCAAAUCAGUUACACAAAAAGACUUCCAGGGAACACUUAAGAAAGGAGAGCACAGCUGGCCACCAUCGUGACUGAAGCUAGAGUCUCGAGUGGUGGCAUCAGGCUCUUCGCCCAUCUCUUUGGAGAUGCUGUUCUUUGAUGAUGACCUGGUUCUUUUCCACAGUAGACAGACAUUUUAGUAUGAUUCCCUUUUUAUUCAUAAGUUAUAAAUCCUACAUUAAAGGGCUACUGGUACAAAAUAUUUCUUUCAAUGUGCCCUUUUAUAAUUUAAUAGUUAACAAGAACUAUUUUUAGUAUUUGCAUGAAUUUUCCCCAAAAUAACACUGUAAGUAAACCAUCUUUAACUAAAAAUUGUGUUAUUUGAGAACUUCAUACAUGUAUAUAAUGUGUUUUGAUCAAAUCCAUCCCAUUUUCCUGAAGCUCCCCCCUUGUCCCCUAUACUAAUAUUUCCCUCAACUUUAUGUGUUUAUUUAUUUAUUUAUUUAUUUAUUUAUUUAUUUAUUAACACACUGAGUCUAUGGCCUGUAUGUGGGUGGAGGUAUAAGACAAUCUACUAGUGCAUGGGUAGCUUGCCUGCCACAUAUUGCAUCCCUGAAGAAAAGCUCUCUCUCUCUCUCUCUCUCUCUCUCCUAGCAGCCAAUUGCAAAUAGCUUCUCAGGGUGGGGUUAUUGUGAGCCCCUCCUGUUUUAGUUAUGUUGCUAUUGUAAUAAACACCACGACCAAAAACAAUUUUGACAGGAAAGGAUUUAAUUUAGCUUACAACUCUCAGGUGACAUUCUACCACUGAGGGAGGUCAGGGCAGGAACUCAAGGCAAGAACCUGAAGGCAGGAAGUGAAGCAAAGAUCAUGGAGGGGUGCUGCUUACUGGCUCAUUCCCCAGGACUUUCUCAGCCUUCUGUCUUAUACCACCCAGGACCACCUGCCCAGGGGUGACACCACCCACAGGGGGUUGAGCUGUCCCACAGAAAAUGUCCUACAAACUUGCAUACAGGACAAUCUGAUGGAGGCAUUUUCCCCAGAUGACUCUAACUUCUGUCAAGCUGACAAAAACUAACCAGGAUCUCCACAGUCCAUGUUUCCAUGCUGGCUGGCUUGAGACUGUGCCGUUCUCACUGCUAGGAGUUCAUGUGUACAGCAUCCUUGCUGCUAGGAGUUCAUGUGUGCAGCACCUUCGUUGCUAGGAGUUCAUGUGUGCAGCAUCCAUGUUGCUAGGAGUUCAUGUGUGCAGUGGUGCUGUCUUGUCUGGCAGAUUUUGUUUCACUGUAGAUUUAAAUUGUCACAGUCACUGUGGAAAUCAGUGUAGAGGUUCCUCAAAAAACUAGAAAUCUAUCCAUCAUAUAACCCAGCUAUGCUACUCCUUAGUAGCAUAAAGGACUCAACAUCCUACCACAGAGAUGUUUGUUCAUCCAUCCUUACCGCUGUUGAUUUAUAAGAGCCAGAAAACAGUAACAGCCUAGGUUUCACCGACUGAUGAAGGGUAACUAAAAUGUGGUUCAUAUACAUAACAGAACAUUAUUCAACUUCAAAGAAAAAACAAAAUUAUGAAGUUCACAGGUAAAAGAACAGAGCUGUAUAAAUUCACUGUUAGACCCAGAAUGACAAAAGCUGUAUGUUCGCUCUCAAAGGUAGAUGCUGGAUUCAAACCUUUAGAUCUGCCUACUUAAAGUGGCAUGCCCAUAAAAGUCAGGAAACUGUAAGUGGCUAUUGAAGCAGCAAGAGUCCAAGGGAGAGGACUAGAAUGCAGGUUAUGCAGGAGGAAAGCGAGAGUAGCGGGACACAAAGGGUUAAAUGGGGUAGGGGAUGGGAAAUCGGGGUAGAGAAGGGAGUAUGAGGAGAGAUAACUAGCAAACACUGAAGACCUUUGUAAACGCCAUAUGGACAACCACUACUGUAGAAACAUCUUAGAUGUGCAAUGGAGCUUAAAUGGUAGCAUUACCUUUUAAUGGGGGACAAUGCCUCUCCCAGACAACAUAGACUAUCAAAUAAAAAUCCCUGUGCCAGCUUGGUUUAGCUAUUUUCCAGAUGUCAAUCAGUGGGGUCCUAAAGAUUCCUCCUCAGACACUACAGGCUAUCCCCAUUGCUCUUGGAAACCCUUCCAGAACGUGGUGGGAAGAUCUUAUUGCUGAAGACACUGCUACUUGAGUAAUAGGACACAGAGUGAUUAA